This 468-nucleotide ribosomal RNA is filed under the name uncultured bacterium. Its description in RNAcentral is "partial 16S ribosomal RNA". It matches the Rfam family "Bacterial small subunit ribosomal RNA", at positions 28 to 507 of the family's 1533-position model. The record is from RNAcentral.
GACGAACGCUGGCGGCGUGCUUAACACAUGCAAGUCGAACGGAAAGGCCCUGCUUUUGUGGGGUGCUCGAGUGGCGAACGGGUGAGUAACACGUGAGUAACCUGCCCUUGACUUUGGGAUAACUUCAGGAAACUGGGGCUAAUACCGGAUAGGAGCUCCUGCUGCAUGGUGGGGGUUGGAAAGUUUCGGCGGUUGGGGAUGGACUCGCGGCUUAUCAGCUUGUUGGUGGGGUAGUGGCUUACCAAGGCUUUGACGGGUAGCCGGCCUGAGAGGGUGACCGGCCACAUUGGGACUGAGAUACGGCCCAGACUCCUACGGGAGGCAGCAGUGGGGAAUAUUGCACAAUGGGCGGAAGCCUGAUGCAGCAACGCCGCGUGCGGGAUGACGGCCUUCGGGUUGUAAACUGCUUUCGCCUGUGACGAAGCGUGAGUGACGGUAAUGGGUAAAGAAGCACCGGCUAACUACGUG